AGAUUUAGGGUUUAUGUUGCCAAACAAAGUAGGAUUCAACAAGUGCAACAUAACAUGUCACUAAAUUUCGACAACAAGCAUGCUCCUUCUCCAAAGGUGAACCUCAAUGGAAGGAAAUAAAAGGGAGAAUGAGGAUAUGAUGAAGGUGGCUGCUAGGGCUCUCAAAAAUAGGUUUACAGCAUCUCCUCUGGUAUAUGUCAGAAUUUGUUAAGGUUGUCCUUUAUAUAUUACAACUUUUUUGACAUUCUCUUCUAUUUUGAGAUACCUUUUGUCCUUUAACUCAUAAAGUAAUAUUAACUAAAACAUGAAAUAUUCUCGUUGUCUUUCCUCCAAGAAUGAGGCAAUCCUUGCCAAUAUGAGACUUACU
This 367-nucleotide long non-coding RNA is filed under the name Medicago truncatula (barrel medic). RNAcentral's name for it is "lncRNA gene13448". The record is from RNAcentral. Lineage: Eukaryota; Viridiplantae; Streptophyta; Magnoliopsida; Fabales; Fabaceae.